Molecule: ribosomal RNA, 375 nt
Filed under: Triticum aestivum (bread wheat)
Lineage: Eukaryota; Viridiplantae; Streptophyta; Magnoliopsida; Poales; Poaceae
Description: partial small subunit ribosomal RNA
Source: RNAcentral
AUGCCUAGAUCCCGUGUAAAUGGAAAUUUCAUUGAUAAGACCUCCUCAAUUGUAGCCAAUAUUUUAUUGCGAAUAAUUCCGACAACCUCAGGAGAAAAAAAGGCAUUUACUUAUUAUAGAGAUGGGAUGUUGGCUCAAUCCGAAGGAAAUUAUGCGGAAGCUUUGCAAAAUUAUUAUGAAGCUACGCGACUAGAAAUCGAUCCCUAUGAUCGAAGUUAUAUACUCUAUAACAUAGGCCUUAUACACACAAGCAAUGGAGAGCAUACAAAGGCUUUGGAAUAUUAUUUCCGGGCACUAGAACGAAACCCCUUCUUACCGCAAGCUUUUAAUAAUAUGGCCGUGAUCUGUCAUUACAUGCGACUAUCUCCACUAUAG